This 3804-nucleotide long non-coding RNA is filed under the name Gossypium barbadense (sea-island cotton). Its description in RNAcentral is "long non-coding RNA (GBAR_LNC017405)". The record is from RNAcentral. Lineage: Eukaryota; Viridiplantae; Streptophyta; Magnoliopsida; Malvales; Malvaceae.
GACGACACGAUCGGAGACCUUAAGAAGCUAGUCGCGGCCCAAACCGGAACUCGGGCCGACAAGAUCCGUAUCCAGAAGUGGUAUACGGUUUACAAGGAUCAUAUUACUCUCAAAGAUUACGAGAUCCACGACGGUAUGGGCCUCGAGCUUUACUACAAUUAAAUUUUUUUUAUGUAAGCUGGGUGGUCUUUGUUUGAACAAGCUUUAAAUUUUAUGUAUGAAUGUAAUAUAAUCGUGGAUGAUGGUAUUUACUCUUUUUUUUUUUUAAAUAUUAAUGGAGGAAAAUAAGUUCUUGGAUUCGUUUGGCUCUUUUUAAUAGUGUUAAAUUCAUGAAUUCUUAUGUUUUAAUAUAUAUGUAUGUGUAUAUAAUACACACCCCUUUGGUUAUGGAUUAUGGAAAAUUGGGCACAAUGUUUGAGGGGGAAAAUUGAAAUCGGUAUUGUUGGCUAAGGUGGAAGCCUUGGGUAUUUGAGUACUUGGGUUUGAAUUUCAUCAUCCAUUAUGUUUUGUAUUAGUUUGAAUUUACCUUGUAUAUUUGUGUUUCUACUUGUGAGUGUUACUGUAUUUGUAGUAGUAAAACUUUCAUAAAGAAAAUCUGAAAUUCAAAAAGAAAUUUGCAUCAAUUCCAUUCAUAUGAAAGAGUAUCUUAGAAUAUGAUAUGUAGAACGGAAUUUUAUUCUUUAAUAUUUAGAAUUUGGUGCUUGUUCAUGUAUUCUCAGUUAUUUCAUCACUGGGAAAAAAAUUCAAGAAGAAACUGUAUGGAAUGGUUACUUUUAUUCAAUUAUAUUAUAUAUAACAUAAUUGUUAAUGAAGUGUUGGCCUUGUUUACAAAAGCAAAAGCUUUGAGUCCAUAUGAAAAUUAUCUUCAGGAAUUAGUUGAGUUAGUUUGAAUCAAGUUAUUUAGUUUAGUGAUUAUAAUUAUUGAUUCUAAUUGAAGCUGUGGGUAUAGUUAGUGGGUUGUAACUUCAAAAAUAUAAACAGUUAUGAUAUUGGAACAUGUUUUUUCAUUCUGUGUUAUUUUUUAUGUUUCUUUCAUGUUAUGUCUAAAAUUAUCGUAGUUAAGCCAUUUGAGUUUAGCUCAAUUGGUAUGGGCAUUGUUCCAUAUGUAGGAGGACAUGAGUUUGAGUACACUGAAGUGUAUUAUUCUUCUAUUUAUGAGUUGGGGAGGGAUUACUGGUAAUUCUAAGCAUUGUGUCUAAAAAAAACAAAUAUAAUCAGAAUCUCUAAUGAGAUUGUUCAAAAAAAAUUUAUAAAGAGUAUAUUUUUGAGCUUGUUUCACGUAAACAUGGACUUUCAAGGUUUGAAGACCAAACGUUAUUAUUCUAUCUAUUAUUUUCAACAGGAUACAAUUAGUAUUAAAAAAGAAAAGAAAAACUAAAAUUCUAUUUAAAAAUUUGAGAGUAUGUGCAAACAAAUUGUUUAUUUCUAAGGUGUUCUUAUGUGAUUUGCCAUAAUGCAUCUGAUUAGAUACUUUUUUUUCCGGUCAAAUCGAUACAGUAGUUUUUGACACAAUACAAUUACUUGAUAUACAAGUCAAAUUUAUGUAAAUAUUUGUUUUAAAAUAAGAUUUAAAAUGUAAAAUUUUAUGAAUAGAAUUUUUAAAUCUAAUUGAUUUUGUCGUAAUUUAAUUGACAUUGUUAUUAUUGCAACAAUUAGGAAUGCAUUAAUUCGAGUGUGUUGGAGUAUAUAAAAUCGGUUUGAUGGUUGAAUUGGUCCAUUAUUGUUUACGUGAAUCAAAUAAUACUGCUUUUCCAAAAUUCUUAAAAGUGUAAAUUAACCAUUAAAUUUUUAGGCAUUUUUGAAAUAAAACAAAAUUACAUUAUGGAGCGCCAGAUAGUGAAAAUAAUAUUUGCAAAUUUAGAUUUUCUUUCAAAGUGAUAAUGCAUAUUUUCUUUUUAAUUUCUACAAUUAAUUUUAAUAUUUAUACAGUUCAUUAUUUCAUCUAUUAUUAUUCACAAUAAACUAAUUUUUUUUAUUAGACCAAUAAUUUAUUUUUCUAAAAGCUAUUCAAGGAUGGAGUUAGUCAACAAGCUCAUGUAGGUCGUAGAAUAUUCACUUUAGGCCUACCCUACCAAAAUGGGCAAAUUGGGUUUCAAAAAAUUUUGGGCUUCGAUAAAAUAUCUAAGCAAAGGCUAAACUCCUUGCUCAGCUGAAUUGGGCUUUGAAUUAUUAUUUAAAAUUUAUUUUUAGAAAGUACAAAUCUUAGUUUUUUUUUAAACAAACAAAAGGAUUAGAAUUAACUUCUUCUUCUUCUUCUUUUUUAACAAUCUCAUUAUAGGUUCUGAUCAUAUUUACUAUUUUUUUAACACAAUGCUUUAAACUACUCAUAGUUCCUCCCCAACCUAUGAAUAUUUUCUCCUCAACCUAUGAAUAAGAAAAUAAUGUGCUUCAGUACACUCAAACCACAUCCUCCUGUAUUGGCAACAAUGUCCAUGCUAGUCGAGUUAAUACUCAAUUGACUUAGAACCAACUAAAUUAAACAAAAGGAAUCCCUCCAAACAAUUGCAAUCCUUCUUCCCUGUCAAACGCUAUUUUGGCCAUUCAGUCAACUUCUUUAUUUUCUUCUCUAGGGACAUGUUCUAGCAUCCAAUUCCUCACAUUCUCCAAGAGUUGAUAUAUUCAUCUGAUUAACACCAAGCUUGAAGUCUUCCUAAUAGAUUCUUGGAUAGCCACAAUAACCUCCAUGUUUUUCGUCUGCACCAAUACUCUAUCACAAUGUAUGUUGUGCAACAGUUUCAAGCCAUCUAAAAUAUCUCAUAAUUCAACAUUGAAAAUCGAACAUUUUCCCAAACGUAAAUUAAAACCAAGAAUCCACUCUCUAUGCCAAUCCCUCAAAAUUCUCCCUACAACAACAUACCUUAAAUCCACCUUAACAGCAUUAUCAAAUCUUAUUCGUAUCCAACUACCUGUCCAAAUGGACUCCCUCCUCACAACUUGCCUUGCAACUUGGGAAUAAAAACGAAUUAUUUUACCCAGCUAUAUGAACCUUUGAUAAUUUAUUCUACACUCCACGGUACUUUUUAAAAAAUAUAGGUAUUUCUAUUCUUCUAUAUACGCCAUGCAACUAGAUCAAAAAAAACACGAUCAAUUGACCCCUCUCUAAAAAAUUUUUUAAACGAUUCUCCACUCCCGCAAACUUCCGGAAAAGAAGCAUCCAUGCUCCUCAACCGGAAUGAUACGAGACGUAACCAAAAAAAAAAAGUAAAAGAAAGACAAACUCUUUCUUUAAUAAUAAAUAAUAAAUAAUAAAUUUGUUCUUAUUUAAAAAAGGACAAAUUAAUAAAAUCGGUGAUACGACAUCGUUUAAAGAAACAAAAAGGCAAAAGUAGUCAACGGGUAAUAUUUGGCUUUAAAAUAAUUCCAAUAUAAAAUCCACCCCCACGCUUCGCUUUUCUCUUAUUUCCAGGGUUAACAAAUUUGGGGAUUAGGGUUUUCUCUGAAAUAGUCUUUUAAAAAAAAUCGAAGAUGAUCGAGGUGGUGUUGAAUGAUCGGCUAGGGAAGAAAGUGCGCGUGAAGUGCAACGACGACGACACGAUUGGAGACCUUAAGAAGCUGGUCGCGGCCCAAACUGGAACUCGAGCAGACAAGAUCCGUAUCCAGAAGUGGUACACGGUUUACAAGGAUCAUAUUACCCUCAAAGAUUACGAAAUCCACGACGGUAUGGGUCUCGAACUUUACUACAAUUAAACAAAUAUAUUUAUGUAAUCCGUGUGGUCUUUGCUUGAACAAGCUCUAAAUUUUAUAUAUGAAUGUAAUAUAAUCGUGGAUGAUGGUAUUUACUUUUCUAAGGAUUAUCAAUAGAAG